UGCUAGUCGUGCGCUUCCUAGCCACGCUGGAGGCGCGGCACACAGCUCAGUAGCACGUGGCUAACCUGCCCUUGGGACGGGAACAACCCCGGGAAACUGGGGCCGAUUCCCGAUAGGUGAAGAUUCCUGGAAUGGAUUUUCGCCGAAAAGACAUUUGGGGCAUGCUUCUAAGCGUUGCCCAAGGAUGGGGCCGCGGCCGAUCAGGUUGUUGGUGAGGUAAUGGCUCACCAAGCCUUUAACCGGUUCGGGCCGUGGGAGCGGUAGCCCGGAGAUGGGCACUGAGACAAGGGCCCAGGCCCUACGGGGCGCAGCAGUCGCGAAAACUUCGCAAUAAGCGAAAGCUUGACGGGGCCAUCCCGAGUGCCAUCUGCUGAGGAUGGCUUUUACCCAGUGUAGAUAGCCGGGCGAAUAAGCGGGGGGCA
This 422-nucleotide ribosomal RNA is filed under the name uncultured crenarchaeote. Its description in RNAcentral is "bacterial SSU rRNA". It matches the Rfam family "Archaeal small subunit ribosomal RNA", at positions 52 to 448 of the family's 1478-position model. Lineage: Archaea; Thermoproteati; Thermoproteota. The record is from RNAcentral.